GCCAAGUGUGGUGGUGGACACUUGUAAUCCCAGCUACUUGGGAGGCUGAGACAGGAGAAUCGUUUGAACCCAGGAGGCAGAGGCUGCAGUGAGCUGAGAUCGCGCCACUGCACUCCAGCCUGGGUGACAGAGUGAGACCCUGUCUCAA
RNAcentral lists this signal recognition particle RNA (148 nucleotides) under Chlorocebus sabaeus (green monkey). RNAcentral's name for it is "Metazoan signal recognition particle RNA". It matches the Rfam family "Metazoan signal recognition particle RNA". Rfam says of the family: The signal recognition particle (SRP) is a universally conserved ribonucleoprotein. It is involved in the co-translational targeting of proteins to membranes. The eukaryotic SRP consists of a 300-nucleotide 7S RNA and six proteins: SRPs 72, 68, 54, 19, 14, and 9. The record is from Rfam by way of RNAcentral. Lineage: Eukaryota; Metazoa; Chordata; Mammalia; Primates; Cercopithecidae.